This 363-nucleotide ribosomal RNA is filed under the name uncultured bacterium. Its description in RNAcentral is "bacterial SSU rRNA". It matches the Rfam family "Bacterial small subunit ribosomal RNA", at positions 72 to 422 of the family's 1533-position model. The record is from RNAcentral.
AAGUCCCGCAAGGGAUCGGUAGAGUGGCAAACGGGUGAGUAACACGUGGGUGACCUGCCUUCGAGUGGGGGAUAACGUCCCGAAAGGGACGCUAAUACCGCAUGACAUCCUGCCUUUGAACAGGUGGAGAUCAAAGCUGGGGAUCGCAAGGCCUAGCGCUUGAAGAGGGGCCCGCGCCUGAUUAGCUAGUUGGUGAGGUAACGGCUCACCAAGGCAACGAUCAGUAUCCGGCCUGAGAGGGCGGACGGACACACUGGGACUGAGACACGGCCCAGACUCCUACGGGAGGCAGCAGUGGGGAAUUGUUCGCAAUGGGCGCAAGCCUGACGACGCAACGCCGCGUGGAGGAUGAAGACCUUCGGG